AACGCAUCUUGCGCCCUUUGGUAUUCCUUGGGGCACACCUGUUUGAGUGUCAUGUACAUCUCGACGAGCUAUUUUUUGUAGCUUGCUCGGUCUUGGAGAGCUGCUGGCUUGUCCGGCUCUUUCCUGAAUUUAUUAGUCAAUGUCUUAACUGCAUGUGUUGGUGUAGCAAAGCUUUCGCCGCAUAUACUGUAGUAUUAUGAGACAACUUGGCUCUCUAAAACCCAAAUUUGUGUUUUGACCUCAAAUCAGGUGGGACUACCCGCUGAACUUAA
RNAcentral lists this unclassified non-coding RNA (272 nucleotides) under uncultured fungus. Its description in RNAcentral is "sequence contains ITS2". Lineage: Eukaryota; Fungi. The record is from RNAcentral.